GAUGAACGCUGGCGGCGUGCCUAAUACAUGCAAGUCGAGCGAACAGACGAGGAGCUUGCUCCUCUGACGUUAGCGGCGGACGGGUGAGUAACACGUGGAUAACCUACCUAUAAGACUGGGAUAACUUCGGGAAACCGGAGCUAAUACCGGAUAAUAUAUUGAACCGCAUGGUUCAAUAGUGAAAGACGGUUUUGCUGUCACUUAUAGAUGGAUCCGCGCCGCAUUAGCUAGUUGGUAAGGUAACGGCUUACCAAGGCAACGAUGCGUAGCCGACCUGAGAGGGUGAUCGGCCACACAGGAACUGAGACGCGGUCCAGACUCCGACGGGAGGCAGCAGUAGGGAAUCUUCCGCAAUGGGCGAAAGCUUGACGGAGCAACGCCGCGUGAGUGAUGAAGGUCUUCGGAUCGUAAAACUCUGUUAUUAGGGAAGAACAAAUGUGUAAGUAACUAUGCACGUCUUGACGGUACCUAAUCAGAAAGCCACGGCUAACUACGU
This 496-nucleotide ribosomal RNA is filed under the name uncultured bacterium. RNAcentral's name for it is "partial 16S ribosomal RNA". It matches the Rfam family "Bacterial small subunit ribosomal RNA", at positions 28 to 506 of the family's 1533-position model. The record is from RNAcentral.